Molecule: ribosomal RNA, 980 nt
Filed under: Vibrio sp.
Lineage: Bacteria; Pseudomonadati; Pseudomonadota; Gammaproteobacteria; Vibrionales; Vibrionaceae
Description: bacterial SSU rRNA
Source: RNAcentral
CUUCGGGGGACGAUAACGGCGUCGAGCGGCGGACGGGUGAGUAAUGCCUAGGAAAUUGCCCUGGUGUGGGGGAUAACCAUUGGAAACGAUGGCUAAUACCGCAUAAUACCUACGGGUCAAAGAGGGGGACCUUCGGGCCUCUCGCGUCAGGAUAUGCCUAGGUGGGAUUAGCUAGUUGGUGAGGUAAUGGCUCACCAAGGCGACGAUCCCUAGCUGGUCUGAGAGGAUGAUCAGCCACACUGGAACUGAGACACGGUCCAGACUCCUACGGGAGGCAGCAGUGGGGAAUAUUGCACAAUGGGCGCAAGCCUGAUGCAGCCAUGCCGCGUGUGUGAAGAAGGCCUUCGGGUUGUAAAGCACUUUCAGUCGUGAGGAAGGURGUGUAGUUAAUAGCUGYAUUAUUUGACGUUAGCGACAGAAGAAGCACCGGCUAACUCCGUGCCAGCAGCCGCGGUAAUACGGAGGGUGCGAGCGUUAAUCGGAAUUACUGGGCGUAAAGCGCAUGCAGGUGGUUUGUUAAGUCAGAUGUGAAAGCCCGGGGCUCAACCUCGGAAUAGCAUUUGAAACUGGCAGACUAGAGUACUGUAGAGGGGGGUAGAAUUUCAGGUGUAGCGGUGAAAUGCGUAGAGAUCUGAAGGAAUACCGGUGGCGAAGGCGGCCCCCUGGACAGAUACUGACACUCAGAUGCGAAAGCGUGGGGAGCAAACAGGAUUAGAUACCCUGGUAGUCCACGCCGUAAACGAUGUCUACUUGGAGGUUGUGGCCUUGAGCCGUGGCUUUCGGAGCUAACGCGUUAAGUAGACCGCCUGGGGAGUACGGUCGCAAGAUUAAAACUCAAAUGAAUUGACGGGGGCCCGCACAAGCGGUGGAGCAUGUGGUUUAAUUCGAUGCAACGCGAAGAACCUUACCUACUCUUGACAUCCAGAGAACUUUCCAGAGAUGGAUUGGUGCCUUCGGGAACUCUGAGACAGGUGCUGCAU